Molecule: long non-coding RNA, 1160 nt
Organism: Oncorhynchus tshawytscha (Chinook salmon)
Lineage: Eukaryota; Metazoa; Chordata; Actinopteri; Salmoniformes; Salmonidae
Source: Ensembl
AGACAUUUCAGAUGCAACCAUUGCCGUAUAUGAGACGUGAUGGCAUCAAUUGAGCGCGUGUUAAUGAGCACGUUGAAGUAUUUCAGCUCCUAACCUGUUCUGUGCAUUACAGACUUUCUCUGAAUACCCACUGAUUCCAUGAUAACCUUUAGUAGUCCACUCUGUGAGGGGUUUCUCCUUCACCUUCAUCUGACAGUAUUAUCUAGAAGGAUUUGGUCAGAUACUGAUGUUAAAAAUGGUGCUCUAGACUUUCAUUUAGACUCUGCAUCGUUGGCUUGGAGAGGCAUCAUGUCCAGGCUACGCUCCAACCACUGUCAGUUUAAACUGAGAGGACGGGCUUGGAGAGGCAUCAUGUCCAGGCUACGCUCCAACCACUGUCCGUUUAAACUGAGAGGACGGGCUUGGAGAGGCAUCAUGUCCAGGCUACGCUCCAACCACUGUCAGUUUAAACUGAGAGGACGGGCUUGGAGAGGCAUCAUGUCCAGGCUACGCUCCAACCACUGUCAGUUUAAACUGAGAGGACGGGCUUGGAGAGGCAUCAUGUCCAGGCUACGCUCCAACCACUGUCAGUUUAAACUGAGAGGACGGGCUUGGAGAGGCAUCAUGUCCAGGCUACGCUCCAACCACUGUCAGUUUAAACUGAGAGGACGGGCUUGGAGAGGCAUCAUGUCCAGGUUACGCUCCAACCACUGUCAGUUUAAACUGAGAGGACGGAAGAGGGUCCCUUCAUCUGUCGACUGUUGUCUCUCAACCCUGUCACUUUUCAGAUUGAUCUGGAAUGUAUUCUAUAAUGGAUGUAUUUUAACAUCAUUGAGUCUCAUAUCAAAAGUAUUAUAACUAGCUAACUAUAUAACAACAACAAAAAUAUGCUAAUUGUACACUUUGAGUCUUUCACUUGUUGUGAAGAUUUCACUACACAGUAUAGCUGAAUGGAAGUUGUUCCUUUUAACAACAACUGCUUCCAUUUCAUUACGAUUCAUAACCAACAAGUCAUUUCUUUUAGAGGUUGUUGAAGUUUGGAACGUUUGAUAUUUAGUGUGUUAUGUGACGAGUGUGAGGAUGGACAGGCCUUGUGGUCUUCUAAAGUGUGAGGAUGGACAGGCCUUGUGGUCUUCUAAAGUGUGAGGAUGGACAGGCCUUGUGGUCUUCUAAAGUGUGAG